Oryctolagus cuniculus (rabbit) is the source of this 320-nucleotide non-coding RNA. The record is from RefSeq and is a predicted model, not a curated record. NCBI's taxonomy places the organism in Eukaryota, Metazoa, Chordata, Mammalia, Lagomorpha, Leporidae.
UUCCAUUGCCUCUACCCUAUGUGUGAUGGACACAGCGUGUUCCAAGGCCUCUACCCUAUGUGUGAUGGACACACCGUGUUCCAAGGCCCCUACCCUAUGUGUGAUGGACACAGCGUGUUCCAGGCCUCUACCCUAUGUGUGAUGGACACACGUGUUCCAUUGCCUCUACCCUAUGUGUGAUGGACACACCGUGUUCCAAGGCCUCUACCCUAUGUGUGAUGGACACAGCGUGUUCCAAGGCCCCUACCCUAUGUGUGAUGGACACAGCGUGUUCCAAGGCCCCUACCCUAUGUGUGAUGGACACAGCGUGUUCCAAGGCC